ACGCCGACCUCAGAUCAGGUAAGACU
RNAcentral lists this ribosomal RNA (26 nucleotides) under Crisicoccus matsumotoi. RNAcentral describes it as "partial 28S ribosomal RNA". The record is from RNAcentral. Lineage: Eukaryota; Metazoa; Arthropoda; Insecta; Hemiptera; Pseudococcidae.